Molecule: long non-coding RNA, 156 nt
Organism: Dermochelys coriacea (leatherback sea turtle)
Lineage: Eukaryota; Metazoa; Chordata; Testudines; Dermochelyidae
Exons: 3
Source: RefSeq, a predicted model, not a curated record
UAAGCUAAAAUCUUACAGGCCUCAGCCUGUGGAUUUUGCAUUCCAGCCAUGGUUUACUUAUAUACCUAAUACACACUCAUCACUCCUAAAUUCUUCUCAAUCUUAUACUUCUAUAAUCCUACAGUUUAAAUCUAUUGCUGAUUAAGUAUGAAAUAG